UGCAUCCAUAUCCCAUUGAAACACCAGUUCCCAGAUGAUCACUGAAGUUAAGCAACAUCAAGCCUGGUUGGUAUCUAAAUGGGUGACUGCUUGUGAAUACUAGGUGCUGUAA
This is a non-coding RNA of Acanthosepion pharaonis, 112 nucleotides long. The record is from the annotation of a GenBank genome assembly. Lineage: Eukaryota; Metazoa; Mollusca; Cephalopoda; Sepiida; Sepiidae.